UUGCCCUAGUAACGGCGAGUGAAGCGGCAACAGCUCAAAUUUGAAAUCUGGCGUCUUUGGCGUCCGAGUUGUAAUUUGCAGAGGGCGCUUUGGCAUUGGCAGCGGUCCAAGUUCCUUGGAACAGGACGUCACAGAGGGUGAGAAUCCCGUACGUGGUCGCUAGCCUUUACCGUGUAAAGCCCCUUCGACGAGUCGAGUUGUUUGGGAAUGCAGCUCUAAAUGGGAGGUAAAUUUCUUCUAAAGCUAAAUACUGGCCAGAGACCGAUAGCGCACAAGUAGAGUGAUCGAAAGAUGAAAAGCACUUUGGAAAGAGAGUUAAAAAGCACGUGAAAUUGUUGAAAGGGAAGCGCUUGCAGCCAGACUUGCCUGUAGUUGCUCAUCCGGGUUUUUACCCGGUGCACUCUUCUAUAGGCAGGCCAGCAUCAGUUUGGGCGGUUGGAUAAAGGUCUCUGUCAUGUACCUCUCUUCGGGGAGAACUUAUAGGGGAGACGACAUGCAACCAGCCUGGACUGAGGUCCGCGCAUCUGCUAGGAUGCUGGCGUAAUGGCUGUAAGCGGCCCGUCUUGAAACACGGACCAAGGAGUCUAACAUCUAUGCGAGUGUUUGGGUGUCAAGCCCGAGCGCGUAAUGAAAGUGAACGGAGGUGGGAACCUUUCGGGGUGCACCAUCGACCGAUCCUGAUGUCUUCGGAUGGAUUUGAGUAAGAGCAUAGCUGUUGGGACCCGAAAGAUGGUGAACUAUGCUUGAAUAGGGUGAAGCCAGAGGAAACUCUGGUGGAGGCUCGCAGCGGUUCUGACGUGCAAAUCGAUCGUCAAAUUUGGGCAUAGGGGC
RNAcentral lists this ribosomal RNA (831 nucleotides) under Paraboeremia litseae. Its description in RNAcentral is "partial large subunit ribosomal RNA". It matches the Rfam family "Eukaryotic large subunit ribosomal RNA", at positions 75 to 924 of the family's 3401-position model. Lineage: Eukaryota; Fungi; Ascomycota; Dothideomycetes; Pleosporales; Didymellaceae. The record is from RNAcentral.